RNAcentral lists this ribosomal RNA (253 nucleotides) under uncultured bacterium. RNAcentral describes it as "partial 16S ribosomal RNA". It matches the Rfam family "Bacterial small subunit ribosomal RNA", at positions 524 to 776 of the family's 1533-position model. The record is from RNAcentral.
UACGGAGGGUGCAAGCGUUAUCCGGAUUUACUGGGUUUAAAGGGUGCGUAGGUGGUCUGUUAAGUCCGUUGUGAAAGCCCUGGGCUCAACCCAGGAACUGCUUCGGAUACUGGCAGACUUGAGGCUAGUAGAGGUCACUGGAACUGACGGUGGAGCGGUGAAAUGCGUAGAUAUCGUCAGGAACGCCAAUGGUGAAGACAGGUGACUGGGCUAGUUCUGACACUGAGGCACGAAAGCGUGGGGAGCGAACGGG